AGCUCAGACAAAACACUAUGUUAGGCUAUUUUAUAACAGUGAAUUUGGACACUAAAACACAUUUUAACUCAACCAAAAAUAAUUUCUACCACAUUCAAUAAUAUACACAUAUGUAACUCAGAUGCAAUAAUCGAAAAUUUUAGUUUCUCUUUCUUAGUUCCUUCCUUCUUUGUUAUUGGAGCGUUCCAUCACAUAUAUAUGUAUAUUAUUUGACCAAACUCAUGCUCCUCAAC
Molecule: long non-coding RNA, 233 nt
Filed under: Brassica napus (rape)
Lineage: Eukaryota; Viridiplantae; Streptophyta; Magnoliopsida; Brassicales; Brassicaceae
Description: long non-coding RNA (BNAP_LNC010853)
Source: RNAcentral